RNAcentral lists this ribosomal RNA (207 nucleotides) under uncultured bacterium. RNAcentral describes it as "partial 16S ribosomal RNA". It matches the Rfam family "Bacterial small subunit ribosomal RNA", at positions 568 to 774 of the family's 1533-position model. The record is from RNAcentral.
CGCGUAGGCGGCCUGUUAAGUCGAACGUGAAAUCCCCGGGCUCAACCCGGGAACUGCGUCCGAUACUGGCAGGCUUGAAUCCGGGAGAGGGAUGUGGAAUUCCAGGUGUAGCGGUGAAAUGCGUAGAUAUCUGGAGGAACACCGGUGGCGAAGGCGGCAUCCUGGACCGGUAUUGACGCUGAGGCGCGAAAGCCAGGGGAGCAAACG